GGGGAGGUCGGACCAUCGUCUCCAUCUGACAGGUGGAGGCAAUGAGGCAUGAACGAGUGAUGGAUGGGCCCCAAUCGGGACUCCAGCGCCAAGCCUGAGCUCAGCAUCUGCCUGGCGUGUUGUUUAUGUGUUUUGUCUCUGAGGUCUUGGGGUCUGGGUUCAGAUCUGGCUCUGCCACCUGUUUGCUCUGUGACCUUGUGCAGGUUCCUUAACCUCUCUGAGUCUUGGUUUAUACAUCUGUGAAAUGAGAGGAUUCAAGUGACCAACUUCGAGUGCUUGGCCCGUCGAGGGAGCAUUCCGUGAUGGAGCCUCUUCUUUUGUCGGUUGGUUCUGCUUUGACACGCACUUCUGCUGAUUGCCAAGGGGAUGGUUCUGGGAACUUCCAUAUGCUGCAAGUAUGGCCCUAAGAAGCAAAACAAAAGAAAACAAAAAGCAUCUUCUCUUGUGAUGAGAAGGGCUCUUGACAGAGUCGGGCUCUGACCCCUGAGUCUGAAGAGAGUGGGCCAUCCCAUUCUUAGAAAAAUCAGAAUCCCAAGGUUAGAAAUCUGCAUCAUUUUUUUGAUACGUUCUUAUUUUGCAAAAAGUAAAAUGCUUCCCACUGGAAGGGCCAGGUGAGUCUUUACUGCAAAAAAAAAAAAAAAAAAGAGGACUACAGCCAACUAAACUGUUACUACCAUUAUGAUUAUAAAUCGGACAGCAUAUGCCCAUAACUCAGUCGCAGUUGUGUAUGUGGCACAUCACAGUGAAUGCAUCUUUUUAAAAAACAUUUACUCAUUUGGGCAGGCCCUGGGCUGUGUGUGUGUAUGUGUGUGUGUGGUGGCUUGUGUAAGUGUCGGAGGCACUUAAUUAUUGGGGAAACACAAACCCUUGGUAGAGAGCCUGUUGGUAAAUGCUGCUGAUGCCACAUAUCCACUGGGUCCAUCCGAUGCUGGAAAGACGUCUGAUUUCAAAAGCCUCCAUGCUUUUCCUCUGCCCCUCAGAUGGUGGGACAUGCGCUGGGCUUGUCAGGGGCAUGACGUGAGGCUCCUGAACAGACCUGGGGACCGUGGCUUCCUUCCUGACAUGCAACCAGGUUUUGGGUGUUUGCUGGGAUUCCCGAGCUGGCCCUGCUGGGCAGGGGAUGGGUGCAGUGGGAGGCUGGGGUGAGGCUGGCGUGCAGCAGAUGCCUUGGCUUGGUCCUCUGUGGUCCACUGCUGUGGGUGGGAGGGGUGCAGACAGGUGUAUGGACCUAAGACCCAGCUGUGGAAGGCAGGCCACCCUGGGAUUGCGUCCUGGCUCUGCCUCUCGCUGCCUGUGUGACCUGGGACAGGCCGCUUAACCUCCCCGUUCCCCCAUUUCCUCGUCUAUAACAUGAGGAUCAUGGACACCUCUCUCCUGGGGCUAAGGUGGAGAUGAAAUGACAAAACACAUAAAAGGUUCACAACUCCAGGUGGUUGUAAGUACCCAACGAAUAUGAGCAAUUUGGUCGAAUUCCUCUUUAUUCGAGAGUAAUUUGACAAGAUUCCCAGAAGCUCAAGUCAUCUGGUUUGAUCCUAGAGUCCAUUCACAAGUCUCUUCCACGAAGGUCCCCCUUUCCUUGAAUGCCUCCCCUGAUGAGGAGCUCACUGCACGCUGCCAUCACCAUCAUCAACAGUUUUCUGGGACCCAGUUUCCAAGCUCUGUACUUUUUGGCAGUUCUUUCCCAAUACCAAGACUUUGCUGACUUCCUCUUCGGGGAGAGGCCCCAGAAGGGUCCACCGCUGCCACCCACUGGGUGCUCAGCAGGUGCCAAGUACUGUACAUAUAUCAUCACAUCCACCCUCCCAAGUCCUAAGGGGAAGGUGUUAUUCUGCCCCCAUUUUAGCGAUGAGGAAACAGAGGGCCAGAGGGUUGACUUGGUUGAGGGUGACAUGGGUCUAGGGGGUGGGCUGGGGCUGAGAUCAGGUCUGUCUGAUGCCAAAACCCUGACAUCUUAACUGUUAUCCUUUCCAAGCGAGCUCAACACCAACCGAGGAUUCUUUGGUCUUUUCCUUGCUUCUUCCCUCUCCAUCUCGGUCAGCCUACUUCCUUGCAAGGGCUUCCUCCCGUCCAGGUUUCAGGUGCACGAUUUGGGGAGGGGGCGCAGCGUUGUUACCUUUAGCGACCUGUCAUCUAUCCAGUCCCUCGCAGUGCCAUUAAGCUGGCAGGAUAACUUCUGUCUGCGGGGGACAGAAGCCUCUCACCGAUGUUGUAUAGUCUCUUCAAUUAAUAAAAGUCAUAAUCUGCUAAACCGGUUAUUGUAAUUUAUCCACAUAAAGCAGAACCGUGUGCCUGAAUUGUCAGUCGAGCCUCAAACCAGUAGAAAAUAGUCGGCAAUUACCAGAGGCUCGGCGAGCAGGGCGGCUGCAGUCCUGUGGUCUUCAAAUUAGGAGAAAUAAUGAAUGCAUCCCGAACACAUCCAUUUCAGCAAGUGCUGCAUGGAUUAUAAAAUUUAUUACCAAUAAAAUUAUUCAUUUGUGCCCUAUACCACACUUAAUGCACCUGAAGUGAGAAAUUAGAAGUGUGUUUAAUUCUGGGGAUGGAAGAAAAUACAAGUGCAGCAAAUUUGCGGUAAUAGGAGAAAGUUAAUGCCGGGCGAAAAGGAAUCAAUUUAGCUCUUGCUAUUCUAUUUGAGGAGAACAGGUUGGUUUUUCUUAUAAAACAUACAGAUUGGAUCCCUGGUUUUAGUAUUGCUUUCAAAGGAUAUUUAAAGAGACGUUAUGAAUUAAGGGGAAUAUGAGACCAUGAAAAAAGUGUGCGUGUCCCCUCUCUCCAUAUAUAUAUAUCUAUAUAUAAAAUACACAUAUGUACAUGCAUAUCGAUAUCUGUGUGUCUGUAUAUUUCCCCAUCCAUUUGGACACAGACACACACACAGUGGUGUGAUAUGCUGGUAAAUAUUUAACAACAAACUGUCUGCAAAAAAAAAAAAAAAA
Molecule: long non-coding RNA, 2930 nt
Filed under: Sus scrofa (pig)
Lineage: Eukaryota; Metazoa; Chordata; Mammalia; Artiodactyla; Suidae
Description: lncRNA (ENSSSCG00030044556.1)
Source: RNAcentral